GACGAACGCUGGCGGCGUGCUUAACACAUGCAAGUCGAACGGAAAGGCCCUGCUUGCAGGGUACUCGAGUGGCGAACGGGUGAGUAACACGUGGGUGAUCUGCCCUGCACUUCGGGAUAAGCCUGGGAAACUGGGUCUAAUACCGGAUAGGAGCCAUUUUUAGUGUGAUGGUUGGAAAGUUUUUUCGGUGUAGGAUGAGCUCGCGGCCUAUCAGCUUGUUGGUGGGGUAAUGGCCUACCAAGGCGGCGACGGGUAGCCGGCCUGAGAGGGUGGACGGCCACAUUGGGACUGAGACACGGCCCAGACUCCUACGGGAGGCAGCAGUGGGGAAUAUUGCACAAUGGGCGCAAGCCUGAUGCAGCGACGCCGCGGGGGGGAUGACGGCCUUCGGGUUGUAAACUCCUUUCGCUAGGGACGAAGCUUUUUGUGACGGUACCUAGAUAAGAAGCACCGGCUAACUACGUG
RNAcentral lists this ribosomal RNA (465 nucleotides) under uncultured bacterium. RNAcentral's name for it is "partial 16S ribosomal RNA". It matches the Rfam family "Bacterial small subunit ribosomal RNA", at positions 28 to 507 of the family's 1533-position model. The record is from RNAcentral.